CUCAGAGUAAACCCUUGCCUUGUUCUUUCUGAAGGUAAACAGAGGAGAUAUCUUCUUGAGCUCAGAGUUCUGAGGUAAUUACAAUUAGUUGCCAUAGAGAGAAAGAGAGAGAGAGAGAGAAACACAUGAAAAUGUAUCUUACUUUCUGUGUUUAGGAAAUUCAUUUAAUGAAAUAUUCAGAGCCACCAAAUCUAUCCAGACCCAGAUACCUAUUAAUCUGUUAGCCACUUGGGCUCCAGAGGGAUCUUUCUUCACCAGGAAAGCUUUUUGACUGCUCUACUCCUGUGCUCAGAAACUUUUAAUGGCUCACCGUUUUCCUGUGUGCAGAUGGUGUUCCAUCUUCUUAACACCCCUGUUUUCUUUAGAUGCUGGCUCCUGCUGUCCACCAGAUCCCCGUGAUGCAGUGACUGAUAUAGACGGGCUUGUUGAAUUCAUUCUCUGGAUCUGAGCAACGUUGGCUGAGCCGUGACGAAGUACUCCUAUCCAUCCAGUAUGCUUCACAGUGGGAAUCUCUCUGUCUUCAUCACCACUGCCCUAGUAGCCUCAGGUCUUCUCCUCUUCAGAUGGACUGCAGGGACCCACGAGGCCCCAGUGGCAGCCAAUCAACUCUGAGCACAGCCACUGCAUAGAGGGUUCAGUGAAGUGAGUGGGGCUGUUACCCCCCACCAAGCAGUGAGUGGCUUUCUGCUGUUCCACUCCGGAGGCCUCACCUCCUGUGUUUUUAAACUCCAGUUUCUGUCUUUCCCUGUUGGCACCAAACUUAUCUUAAUAAAAUAUAAAUCAAAUCACAUUAUUUCCCCCAUGAAAUCUGUUGACGCCUGUGGCUAGUGGGAUCAGUGCCAAAUCCUCAGCUUACUC
Non-coding RNA from Chlorocebus sabaeus (green monkey), 858 nucleotides. NCBI's taxonomy places the organism in Eukaryota, Metazoa, Chordata, Mammalia, Primates, Cercopithecidae. The record is from RefSeq and is a predicted model, not a curated record.